Molecule: ribosomal RNA, 256 nt
Filed under: uncultured bacterium
Lineage: Bacteria
Description: partial 16S ribosomal RNA
Rfam family: Bacterial small subunit ribosomal RNA
Source: RNAcentral
GACAGAGGGUGUAAACGUUGCUCGGAAUCACUGGGCGUAAAGGGCGCGUAGGCGGCUUGCACCGUCAGAUGUGAAAUUCCUGGGCUUAACCUGGGGGCUGCAUUUGAUACGUGUGGGCUUGAGUGCGGAAGAGGGUCGUGGAAUUCCCAGUGUAGAGGUGAAAUUCGUAGAUAUAGGGAAGAACACCAAUAAAGGCGAAGGCAGUUAACUAUUCUAUUCCUGACAUUGAGGCAUGAAAGCGUGGGGAGCAAAACGG